Molecule: RNA transcript, 2270 nt
Organism: Argentina anserina (silverweed cinquefoil)
Lineage: Eukaryota; Viridiplantae; Streptophyta; Magnoliopsida; Rosales; Rosaceae
Exons: 11
Source: RefSeq, a predicted model, not a curated record
GAGCGUUACUGUUCACAGGCACUCAAUGAGGAGACCCCUGUUUUCCGAAUUAUUACCAUGGAUGCCACUGAGCGAUUAAUUGCCGCAUAUGCUCUUGUUGUUUCAUCUCCUGAUCAAAACGUGGCGGCCUUAAUUAGAGUGGGAUGGAGAGGUAUGGUACGUGCAGGAUUGCACAACCCAGCAGCCGGGGCAAGUAUUUGCCAUCGUUUAUAUUGUGUUGCUCGACUAGACGUGGUGUUCCUCAAGACCCCCGCAUCUCUCUUUCCUUUCUCCAUUCCACAAUUAGCACAGCCGCUUCGUGAGGUUCAGUUUGGUUGGUCUUUGGGGAUAUUCACGUUAUCAGAGUUGAUGUUGAUUGAAUUUCUUAAUAUGGUUCAUUAUCCUCAUCAUGUGUUGUACAGAUCAUAUUUCUGCUCUGGGCUGGUGGGACAUAUUUCUAGAGUGCCAGGAGGUCAGCGGUCUGAGAUGAAUGUACAAGCAAGGAUUCAGGCAUUUGCCACACCACAUUGAAAUACUUGUUGCAGCAAUUCAGAUCAAUUAACCUGACAGCUUAUAUGGAUUAUCCAGUCACACAAGGAACUCUCGUCUGUGUUGUUGCUUCCAGCUAGUGGCUAAAAUGGAAACUGUUCUAGAAUUUGUAGUUUACUGCAUCUGUUAUUCCGUUCACCUAGGAUUUUAUGAUAAGAGAAUCCAUUACGUGUUUUGUUUAUAUAGAUUAAGCUGGACAAAAUCUAAAAGGCCUAACAAUAUUGUUAACUAAUUAUUAAAUUAUUUGGCAUGGUCAAGACAUGACUGUUAUUUUUUGUAAGAAAUUAUAACGAUAAUAACUCUGUUGUCAAGAAUGAACAAAAGAAAUGGCAGUCAAGACCUUCAGAUCUUACCAGCUAGUGGCUAAAAUGGAAACUGUUCUAGAAUAUUUGUCUUCUCUUUAUUUUAUUUUACCAUAUCUACUCGAAUUGUGUGGAUUGGAAGUUAGAGUCUUUUAUUCUGUCUAUGCUAAAUUACCGAACUCCAGCACUUCUGGAUUUCUAUAUCUAUGGUCUUCCUUAUUGCCGCCACCACAUUCACUCUCCUAAAGAUAAGUCGUAAGUUUUUGCUUUCUACUGAGUCACUUGUAUUUGAUGGCAUUUGUUUACUAUUUUGAAAUGACAUUCUUUCAUCUCUCAGAAGUAUUUCGUAGUGAUGCAGGUUACUUAUGAUGCUUACAAGUUGUACAGUCCAUACAAGUUUUCCAAAAAGGGACCAUAGUGAGCUUAUGUGAAUGAUGAUCAAAUUGCAAGCAUGCAUAUACGUUCGUCGUGCAUUUCAGCCUGUAGUUAACAAAUUAUAUUCAUAAGAUUAGCUGUUCAUGGGCUUUAAUAUUCUAGAACAAGUGGUUACUUAACGAAUAGUAGUACUUGCAAUUGUCUGUUCUUUCCAGAAACUUUUGAACUCUACUUGGUUGAUGUUGACUUCUUAGACUAUUGUUAUACCAACAGGUCUCAAUGGAGCUUUUCAACUGUGGGAGGAAAAAGAGUAUUGCAAGUUGCACUCCACUUGAAUUAGAGUUGAUUUUCCAAAUUUUAAUUGUCUGGAGCUUAUGAACUGACAAGCAGCUGAUAACAGUGCGAACCUGCCAGUGCUUUGUUGUUGAGGACAUUUCAUCUAGAAAAGAUUUAGAUAAUUCAGUAUGUCUUUCUAAAGGAUUCAGAUAGUAUAUGUUGGAUGCUGGCACCAAUGAAUGUGAAGAUGAUGGCCAUUUCAUCUAGAACCGAGUUAGAUAAUUCAGUAUGUCUUUCUAAAGGAUUCAGAUAGUUAUAUGUUGGAUGCUGGCACCAAUGAAUGUGAAGAUGAUGGCCAAAUUGUUGUAGGAAUUGAGGAAAGAUGGGAUAUGAAUGUCAAGAUGAUCAGCCAAGUAGUCGUAGGAAUUGCGGAACAAUGCAGACUUGGUCAACCAACAUGAUCAGGUUGAAAAAUAACUGCUUGGUUCACAUCGAAGACAUGGUGAACCAGACCUACCAAGCAGUUAAGAACAUUCCUGCAUGUCAGGGUUGUCAACGGAGUUGCCACCGAGCUAUACAUGCAGCUGUAAGGUGAGCUAUGGGAUUCCAUAUAGCCUUGCUUUUUGAAGUUUGGAGCAGUUCGGAUUUGUUGCUGCAGAGCACACACAAUCCUUAUCAAAUUCUCUCACAAUUUCUCUCCUUGCUUUCUGGUGUCAUAUCUUCUCAAAUUGUUGAAAGUCUUUUGUUUUGAAUUGUGUUUUUGGCUUUUUCUUGGCUGAAUUUAAUUCU